RNAcentral lists this ribosomal RNA (804 nucleotides) under uncultured Pseudomonadota bacterium. RNAcentral's name for it is "bacterial SSU rRNA". It matches the Rfam family "Bacterial small subunit ribosomal RNA", at positions 8 to 796 of the family's 1533-position model. Lineage: Bacteria; Pseudomonadati; Pseudomonadota. The record is from RNAcentral.
AGAGUUUGAUCAUGGCUCAGAACGAACGCUGGCGGCGUGCCUAACACAUGCAAGUCGAGCGAGAAGUCCCGCAAGGGAUUGUAAAGCGGCGAACGGGUGAGUAACGCGUAGGUAAUCUACCUUUUAGUGGGGAAUACCGUUUCGAAAGGAACGUUAAUACCGCAUGUGGAUCCACUUUUAAUAAGUGUAUCUAAAGGGGGCGUAGCAAUACGCUCUCGCUAAUUGAUGAGCCUGCGUCCCAUUAGCUAGUUGGUAAGGUAAUGGCUUACCAAGGCUUCGAUGGGUAGCUGGUCUGAGAGGACGACCAGCCACACUGGAACUGACACACGGUCCAGACUCCUACGGGAGGCAGCAGUGGGGAAUAUUGCGCAAUGGAGGAAACUCUGACGCAGCGACGCCGCGUGGGUGAUGAAGGCCUUCGGGUUGUAAAGCCCUGUCGGCUGGGAAAAAGGUAGUUGCACUAAUACUGCAAUUGCUUGAUGGUACCAGCAAAGGAAGCACCGGCUAACCCUGUGCCAGCAGCCGCGGUAAUACAGGGGGUGCUAGCGUUGUUCGGAAUUACUGGGCGUAAAGGGCGCGUAGGCGGCUUCGUAAGUCAGAUGUGAAAUCCCCGGGCUUAACUCGGGACGUGCAUUUGAAACUGCGAGGCUAGAGUGCAGUAGAGGAUGGUAGAAUUCCCAGUGUAGAGGUGAAAUUCGUAGAUAUUGGGAGGAAUACCGGUGGCGAAGGCGGCCAUCUGGGCUGCAACUGACGCUGAGGCGCAAAAGCGUGGGGAUCAAACAGGAUUAGAUACCCCAGUAGUCC